Molecule: long non-coding RNA, 130 nt
Organism: Amblyraja radiata (thorny skate)
Lineage: Eukaryota; Metazoa; Chordata; Chondrichthyes; Rajiformes; Rajidae
Exons: 3
Source: RefSeq, a predicted model, not a curated record
CCGGUUUCCUCCCACAUCCCAGAGACGUGUGGGUUUGUAGGUUAAUUGGCUUCUGUGAAUUGCACCGAGUGUGUAGGCAGAGGCUGAGAAUGUGGAAUAACAUAGAACUAGUGUGAACGGGUGAUCGAUG